Molecule: long non-coding RNA, 2356 nt
Filed under: Bemisia tabaci
Lineage: Eukaryota; Metazoa; Arthropoda; Insecta; Hemiptera; Aleyrodidae
Description: lncRNA ENSSWEETPG009323
Source: RNAcentral
ACACUUAUUUGAGAAUCCAGGAAACGAACAAAAAGUCCAGACGGAAUUCCUCAAUGAAAAUGAACUUUACAUAGGCAAACACUAAGCACUCCAGUGGUAGGGAGUGCUCUAGUCAAACAUAAAAGUGAGGAAAAUGUGAAAAAAAUCACUGCAGUAUUUGUGUUCUGUCUCUUUUUAACCAAGUUCCUAAAAAAACUGCAGUUUAUAUGUACUGCGCAAUGCAGAAGGAGCAGCGAGAUUGUGGUUAAUACACCAUUCACCUCAAUUGUACGUGGAGGUGUGUUCUGUAAGCAAUUCGACGGUGUAAGUUCGCAACCACGUAUCUCGUUUGCAAUGUUUGAAAAUCUCCGCUCCUAUUUCAUUUUCUUAAAAGAAGAACAAAUCAACAUCAUUGGUUGAAAUUUUCAUAGAAUUUUCCUCGCACAGAGAAGAAAAAUCACGGCAGUUUUUAAGAAUUGCCGUUUAGUAGAUUUCCAUGUAAAAAAUAAAGGAUAACAGGAAGUCUGCCACGUCGCAAACCGAGAUACGUGGUUGCACACUUACAUACCGUCGAAUUAUAUGUGUUAAUGGACUAUACAUUUUUAAAAAAGAACUACUAUUGCUGGCUCAUCCGUGAAAGUACCAUCUGCAAGGUGACUAAUCUCACAUACGUUGUUUCUAAAAUGAACCAGAAAUUGUAGUUCCUUACUUCAAAAUGAUCUCAGUCCUUUGCUUGCACAGCGUAGAAAAGGUUUUACUGGAUUGUAACUAAUUCACUGUCAGACCAAUGGCUCAUGAUAGCGAUCUAUGCUUUGAGGCGGGAUAUUCUCUCUUGAAAAAUUGAGAUGGAUCGAAUUUUGAUAGCAACUCAGUUGAAAUGCUCUAUUAAAAGAAGGGGAAGAGCCAAUUUUGUGACCCGAAUUUGAUUGUUUUGUUUUGUUUACUUAAGCCUUUAAGUUAAUUCCUCUCUUUUACAUUUUGGGUGUUUUUUUCCACAUUCAUAAUUUUUCGGCAAUCGACAGAUAAUAAUAUCUAGUAUCUGGUUGAUCACACAGUUUUCAAAUUUUUAAAUUGUGGCCAAGACUUUCCUAGUUCCAUGAAACGAACAGGAAAGACACCCCCCCCCCCCCUAAAAAAAAAGUAAAGUUUAAUCGUUAAAGAUAAUCUGAAUACUGUACAGAAAGUAAGCAUAUCAGACGCUGGCUGAUGAUUAAGAUGUGAUAAUAAAUUUGACAGGCUCUAUUCCUUAUUGCCCUCUAUACGGAAUUCUAUUAUUUUGGCAAAGUUAUAUGAUUGCUGAUGUAUUCUACACGAAAAAUAUAUAAAUAUAGAAAAAACACCGAAUUCAGACUUUUUAUCACAUCCACCAUUCUAUUACUUUUUUUUAAUCAUUUCUUUCACAGCAUCUCAAGGCUCCGAUCAAAUAAAUUGUGGUUUUUGAUCCACCCAAUUCAUUAUUUUUGAUCAGUGUUCACAAGGAAGUACUAAUAGUUCAGGAAGAACGGUCGUAUCCUUGUAUCAGGCCUUAAAAAAAAUGGAAUUUCAUACCUGAGCCCAAAUCUUGUUGGUUUACGACCGACCGCAAGUUGAGAACCUAACCUCAAAAUCCGACUUUAAAUUGCAAUAAUUAUAUUCUAAACUCAAGCUGUGCGCAAGUUGAGCUUUUUUUAUAGCAGGGUAGAGCCAUCCUUAGUUUCCCAACGGUGCAAACCAUUAAUCAGCGACCGAAUAACAAAGUCAACAUCCCAGCCUGAACUUGCGGCAGUUGCGGCCGACCGUAACGCUGCCAACAAAAUACGGGCCCUGAACUUGUAAGCGUAAGAGCCUAUAGACUAAUUUAUUGGCUAUAUCUCGUUCGAUAUAAUAUCGAAACCUUGGCUCAAAUGUAAACAAACACAGAACUUUGAUUCUGAUUCGCGCCCUUUGCAGGUGUUAAAAUGCGUCCAAGUGUUUCUUACGAUCAAAAAGUUCUCGUUUUUAAUGAGUCUUUAAUUGAUUUAUGACUGGUCAAUGACUAUAGAUUUUGAUAAAUUAACCCAAUUAGCUCAUGAAGAGUCCGCACAUGAGGUUAUGUUGUUUUUUUUUUGGUUUGAACCAAGAGUUCGAUAGUAUAUCGAAUGACGUAGACACUAAAUCAGGCUAUUGCUACGAUGAUAAAAGAUCUUAAUAUCCAACCUUCACAGUAAUCGCGUAUGUUAUCAAAAGCUUAUAUUACUUUUUUUCAUGCGGAAGACUACCUGCGGGCCGAUUAUUGGAACUAUGUCAGUACGACUAGGCAAGACAUAGCCCUAUCUUUUCCAUGCAUACAUCACAUUACGAUGUCUUAUCGGGCUACUUUAAGCUUUCAAUAAUUGGCCCGCUUAUUGGACUAAUGAAG